UACAGAGGUCUCAAGCGUUGUUCGGAUUCAUUGGGCGUAAAGGGUGCGUAGGCGGCGGGGCAAGUCUGAUGUGAAAUCCCGGGGCUCAACCCCGAAACUGCAUUCGAUACUGCCGUGCUUGAGGACUGGAGAGGAGACUGGAAUUUACGGUGUAGCGGUGAAAUGCGUAGAUAUCGUAAGGAAGACCAGUGGCGAAGGCGGGUCUCUGGACAGUUCCUGACGCUGAGGCACGAAGGUCAGGGGAGCAAACGGG
Molecule: ribosomal RNA, 253 nt
Filed under: uncultured bacterium
Lineage: Bacteria
Description: partial 16S ribosomal RNA
Rfam family: Bacterial small subunit ribosomal RNA
Source: RNAcentral